GGGGCGUGCUUGACCUUGCCUUUUAACCACGUGGACUGGAGUCGUCAUGGUGUAUACCAGUGAGUGUACUAACAAACAGUCUCCUCACCCUAGGCUACCCUUCCAGCCUUCCUUCUCUCUGUUUAUAUAUACCAGUAUUCUUAGCCAAAGGUCUGGCUAAUAACCUUUACUUGCUGCAAUAUCCAUUUCACCCUGCCCACAUGCCGGUGAUGGUAGAGGCUAAAAUGAGAAGAGAGCAUUUGGAGAUGAGAAUCAGCUUAAAGACAAGAGCAACAUUACUCACAGAGCUCCAGUCUUGAUACACUAACAGUACUUGGUUCUCAUAAAGGUGAUGUCAUUCGACUAGCUAAUGACAGUUCUUUAAAUACCUCCUUCUCAUUCCAACAAUAAUCUAAUGGCCUCUCUUUAGUCUUCAUGGAGUCCUUCCAGUAUGAUGACACUCUUCCACAAUAUGUUGGGAAGUUGAAAAGACAUCAUUUUUAGUUGGCCACUGCUGUUCACUCUCACUGAGGAUGGGAUUAUGUUGGUCCACAGUGUCUCUAAUGCUAUGAUCAUUGCUGCCAUUCAUCCACUGGAAUACUGUAGAAUGUUUAGCUAUAACACUCCAGAUGGUCCCUCUCUCUUACAAACUCUGUCUUUGUCAUCAUUUCAUAAAAUCUCGGUCUCUCUUGAUCUAGGAGUGUAUCUUAGUUAAUUCAUUGGAUCAAUGUUCCUUCUCACUCAAUGCACUGGAGACUGGAACUGAGACAUGGUGUCAUUCUUCCUUAGGAAUAGAGGUAAAUGAUACUAUUUAUAGUAACACUGAUACUAUUUAUAGUACAAUGCUAUUGAUUGAAACUAUGCUAUUGUAGUAUAUGAUAUAUCAUUGUCUAUUGUA
Amphimedon queenslandica is the source of this 877-nucleotide long non-coding RNA. RefSeq lists it as uncharacterized. Lineage: Eukaryota; Metazoa; Porifera; Demospongiae; Haplosclerida; Niphatidae. The transcript is spliced from 5 exons. The record is from RefSeq and is a predicted model, not a curated record.